GGCAGCACUGCUCCGUGCACCGUCCCACCCACCAAUGCACAAAGGAAAAAUAAUGCUUUUGCAGCAUGUAAGUGUUCAAGUCUGUAGUUUGUGCUCAGGCAGUGCAAUGCGGCUGUGAGUCAGAUUUUAUCUGAGCCAGGUGACUAUUAGCAGCAGUAAGUGCUAUUUAACGUGAAUACAAGCUAUUUGAGAUCCAUAGCUUCAGUAUUUUCUUUUUCUCCCUUUCAGUGCCAAAUGGCCACCAGAGGAUUUAAUUUGUCAAUAAGCUGCACGAAUGCCCAGGCCACCUCCAUCUGCUGCUGUGACAGAACACAAUUAACAGGAAAAUCCCAGUUUACAGAUGGACAAAUGAAACAGGGAGGUGUCCAAUGUUUUGCCCAGCACUGCAAGCUGCGCCAGUGGCAGAAUGAUUGUAUCCCUGCUUGAUCCCUGCCAGUUCAAUCUUUGGAGACUUAAAGUGCUCACUCAAAUGCACUGAACAAGAGGAAUGCUUCAGCUCCAAUCAGCUCCUGUCUUCUUUGGAAAUGCUGGCCCUGAGGCACUAUGCAAUAACCUGUGAUCAGGAUCCCAGUUAUGUGCUGGAUAGGCAGCUGAAGAAGCUCCUAGACCUGUCUUUCUAAGAUUUGGACAGAGCCUAUAGAUAAGCAUGAAAGUCGAUCUGUUGGUGAAAGCUCUGGAGAGGUGCAGAGACAGGGAGGAAACGAGGCACCAUCCCACUGAAAUCAGCAGGACUCUGUGGUGCUCUGAGAAAGGCAUACAUAUGCCUGGAUCAAGUUGAUAUUUACAGAAGGCUCCUUUUGAAUUGGCUUUUGAUUAUACACCUAUGUCAGAGGGUGGACAGUGAGACUCAGUGUGACUUGUUUCCAUGAGAGAAAGAUGGUGAAAGAUUGUGAAG
RNAcentral lists this long non-coding RNA (895 nucleotides) under Gallus gallus (chicken). Lineage: Eukaryota; Metazoa; Chordata; Aves; Galliformes; Phasianidae. The record is from RNAcentral.